UGGGGAAUUUUGGACAAUGGGCGAAAGCCUGAUCCAGCAAUGCCGCGUGUGUGAAGAAGGCCUUCGGGUUGUAAAGCACUUUUGUCCGGAAAGAAAUCCUUGGCUCUAAUACAGUCGGGGGAUGACGGUACCGGAAGAAUAAGCACCGGCUAACUACGUGCCAGCAGCCGCGGUAAUACGUAGGGUGCAAGCGUUAAUCGGAAUUACUGGGCGUAAAGCGUGCGCAGGCGGUUUGCUAAGACCGAUGUGAAAUCCCCGGGCUCAACCUGGGAACUGCAUUGGUGACUGGCAGGCUAGAGUAUGGCAGAGGGGGGUAGAAUUCCACGUGUAGCAGUGAAAUGCGUAGAGAUGUGGAGGAAUACCGAUGGCGAAGGCAGCCCCCUGGGCCAAUACUGACGCUCAUGCACGAAAGCGUGGGGAGCAAACAGGAUUAGAUACCCUGGUAGUCCACGCCCUAAACGAUGUCAACUAGUUGUUGGGGAUUCAUUUCCUUAGGAACGUAGCUAACGCGUGAAGUUGACCGCCUGGGGAGUACGGUCGCAAGAUUAAAACUUAAAUGAAUUGACGGGGUC
RNAcentral lists this ribosomal RNA (572 nucleotides) under uncultured bacterium. RNAcentral describes it as "partial 16S ribosomal RNA". It matches the Rfam family "Bacterial small subunit ribosomal RNA", at positions 355 to 920 of the family's 1533-position model. The record is from RNAcentral.